Molecule: long non-coding RNA, 1109 nt
Filed under: Pomacea canaliculata
Lineage: Eukaryota; Metazoa; Mollusca; Gastropoda; Architaenioglossa; Ampullariidae
Description: uncharacterized LOC112566343, transcript variant X1
Source: RNAcentral
UUAAAAAGCCGCAGCAAGUUUUGCUGUUAUAGUCAUUCUCUGAACUCUCAAGAGUUUAAGUAUCGGCGACGGCUGCAGUGCUCGAUCGAACGACUUCUCUUCAGUGAUAUUGAGUAUCGUAAUUUGUCAAGAACGAAAAGCAGCGAAUAAAGGUUGUGGAAUGAGCUACUGUCUUCUUGGAAGUGAAAACGCAUCAGAUCUGUUUUCUUCUGAAGCUGCCGUCAAAUAUGUUAAAUGUGAUCAGCACUGAGAAUUUUGUAAUAAUGACCGCCUCUGGACGAGUGUUGUUUCGUAAAGAAACCAUAUCAGAAGCAUCCAUUAGUCAGGAGAGUGAUAUCAAAGCCGUGAUGAAAGGAAAGGGACUAGAAGAGCGACAGAUGAUGACACGUGCUCUCAAUGCAUUGAAAGAAAACCCUAGUAUUUCCACAUCGGUAAGAAGAGAAGAAAUCCCCUGUGAAGACAAACCGAUGAUCUGUAACUCAGGUUAUCAGCCCACCCAUUAGAUGCUUACAAACGGCUAGAAGCAAGAAGGGGCAAAGCUCAAAUCAUUAUCAGUACUUUUAAAUCUUGGAAAAUCUCUCAGUUGAUUCAUUUCUUAGUGAAUAAUGGAAUGUGACUUUAUUGGAUCAAAGGAGUGAAGGGGCUCGCUCGAUCGUUAUGAUAGGAAAAAACGAAUUAUUAAAACCGAAAUAAGAGAACGAACAAGGAAGAAAAGAACAAAUGAAAUAAGCCUUCGAGAGAGAAACCGAUAAAAAUUGACUUCUGUUCAUGGUAGGCUGGUGUCGGAAUCUUUCUGAAAAGAUAAAAAAAAUACUUGGGAAAUUAGUGUCCUCAAAGAUGAAGAUGUUGGCGGCAACUGCUUUGCGAUAAUACAAGCGCUGAGUAAGCAAUGAUCAAUCGAGUUGUUACUGUGUGAUAUGGAAAAUAUUUGAUAAAAAUGCCAAGAAUAAACAAUAAUAUCUUGAUGACUAAGAAGCAGAAAAUGUGUUAACAAAACUUUGGUGCAAAUUGGUUUCAUUGACUUUUUGUCAGAGAUAUCAUGCAUUAUGUUAAUUCUAGGACUGCUUUUAAGCUUAAAGUACUUGUAGAGCUUCAAAGGCUGAAACAAA